RNAcentral lists this ribosomal RNA (253 nucleotides) under uncultured bacterium. RNAcentral describes it as "partial 16S ribosomal RNA". It matches the Rfam family "Bacterial small subunit ribosomal RNA", at positions 524 to 776 of the family's 1533-position model. The record is from RNAcentral.
UACGGAGGGUGCGAGCGUUAUCCGGAAUUACUGGGUUUAAAGGGUGCGUAGGCGGCUAUGUAAGUCAGGAGUGAAAGUUUGCGGCUCAACCGUAAAAUUGCUUUUGAUACUGCAUGGCUGGAAUUAGGAUGAGGUCAGCGGAAUGUGGCAUGUAGCGGUGAAAUGCAUAGAUAUGCCAUAGAACACCAAUUGCGGAGGCAGCUGGCUAGACCUGGAUUGACGCUGAGGCACGAAAGCGUGGGGAGCGAACAGG